This 114-nucleotide ribosomal RNA is filed under the name Elphidium margaritaceum. Its description in RNAcentral is "partial Trypanosomatid mitochondrial large subunit ribosomal RNA". The record is from RNAcentral. Lineage: Eukaryota; Foraminifera; Rotaliida; Elphidiidae.
ACCAUUUCAAAUCAAUUCAAAAAUCAAAAUGGCAAUCAUACAAUUGGUCAUUUUCUUGACAGCAGGCGCUUUGGCAGCAGCUCAAGGCCAGUUUUAUAUCAACGGUAACAACAC